RNAcentral lists this ribosomal RNA (395 nucleotides) under uncultured bacterium. RNAcentral describes it as "bacterial SSU rRNA". It matches the Rfam family "Bacterial small subunit ribosomal RNA", at positions 28 to 430 of the family's 1533-position model. The record is from RNAcentral.
GACGAACGCUGGCGGCGUGCUUAACACAUGCAAGCCGAGCGGUAAGGCCCUUUCGGGGGUACACGAGCGGCGAACGGGUGAGUAACACGUGGGUGACCUGCCCUCAGCUCUGGGAUAAGCCUGGGAAACCGGGUCUAAUACUGGAUAUGACUCCAUGACGCAUGUUGUGGGGUGGAAAGCCUUGUGCGGCUGAGGAUGGGCCCGCGGCCUAUCAGCUUGUUGGUGGGGUGAGGCCUACCAAGGCGACGACGGGUAGCCGGCCUGAGAGGGCGACCGGCCACACUGGGACUGAGACACGGCCCAGACUCCUACGGGAGGCAGCAGUGGGGAAUCUUGCGCAAUGGGCGAAAGCCUGACGCAGCGACGCGCGUGAGGGAUGACGGCCUGGUGUAACU